UAUACAGCUAGCACAAGCCGAGCUCCACUUGAAAAUUCUGUUUAUAAAUACCAGCAACUCUCUUAAUCCCUAUUAUCAUCACCAGCACACAUAUAUGUAUUAGCUUGUUGAAUAUUAUAUAUAGUUCAAUGGCCAUAUCAAAGUCCCUGAUUACUUUCAUAUUUGUUGUCAUGAUCUCUCUUCUUCUUCUGCAGGUUGUUCAUAGUGAUGAGAUGACGAUGAGUAGUGGCCGCUCUCUUCUCCAGAUCGAUUGCGGGGCAAAGUGUGCAGAGAGAUGCAAACUAUCAGGGAGGCCAAAUCUGUGCCACAGGGCAUGUGGGACUUGCUGCGGCCGUUGCAACUGCGUGCCACCUGGUACUUCCGGCAACUAUGAUGUUUGCCCUUGUUACGCUAAUCUCACGACCACCGGUGGCAAAAAGAAGUGCCCUUAAUUACUUCUUCAUCUAUAUGCCGAAACAUUCUGCCACUUGCAAUGGAUCAAUAUGCAUCUACAAAUUUGCGUUAUAUGUUAAAUAUUGUAAACGAUCGUGAUGAGGGUUUAUACAUGUGAGUAAUAAAGAAGCACACGUCUAGCUGUGUGGAAUAGAUAAAUCAUGAGUUGAUUAUCAUGAAGAUUGUAUGUAGUUUCAAGAUGUUAAAAGUUAUGUGGUGUUCCACGUGUAUGUAUAGUCUGCUUUUGAGUUA
Long non-coding RNA from Daucus carota subsp. sativus, 684 nucleotides. RefSeq lists it as uncharacterized. The record is from RefSeq and is a predicted model, not a curated record. NCBI's taxonomy places the organism in Eukaryota, Viridiplantae, Streptophyta, Magnoliopsida, Apiales, Apiaceae. The transcript is spliced from 3 exons.